This 465-nucleotide ribosomal RNA is filed under the name uncultured bacterium. RNAcentral describes it as "partial 16S ribosomal RNA". It matches the Rfam family "Bacterial small subunit ribosomal RNA", at positions 338 to 795 of the family's 1533-position model. The record is from RNAcentral.
CCUACGUGUGGCAGCAGUGGGGAAUAUUGCGCAAUGGGCGAAAGCCUGACGCAGCGACGCCGCGUGAGGGAUGAAGGUCUUCGGAUCGUAAACCUCUGUCAGCAGGGAAGAACGGUCACUGUGCUAAUCAGCAGUGAAUUGACGGUACCUGCAAAGGACGCACCGGCUAACUCCGUGCCAGCCGCCGCGGGAAUACGGUGGGUGCGAGCGUUAAUCGGAAUUACUGGGCGUAAAGCGCUCGUAUGCGGUAUGUCAAGUCAAGGGUGAAAUCCCCGCGCUCAACGUGGGAACUGCCUUUGAAACUGGCAAACUGGAGUGUGUGAGAGGAUAGUGGAAUUCCAGGUGUAGGAGGGAAAUCCGUAGAUAUCUGGAGGAACAUCAGUGGCGAAGGCGACUAUCUGGCACAUAACUGACGCUGAGGAGCGAAAGCGUGGGUAGCAAACAGGAUUAGAUACCCCUGUAGUC